AACGAACGCUGGCGGCGUGCCUAACACAUGCAAGUCGAGCGCGAAUGGGAGCAAUCCCUAGUAGAGCGGCGCACGGGUGCGUAACACGUGGGUAAUCUACCCUGGAGUCCGGGACAACCUGCCGAAAGGCUGGCUAAUACCGGAUGAGACCACGGGGUCCUUGGACCUUGUGAGAAAAGGUGGCCUCUGCAUGCAAGCUAUCACUUCAGGAUGAGCCCGCGGCCCAUCAGCUAGUUGGCGGGGUAAUGGCCCACCAAGGCAACGACGGGUAGCUGGUCUGAGAGGACGAUCAGCCACACUGGAACUGAGACACGGUCCAGACUCCUACGGGAGGCAGCAGUGGGGAAUUUUGCACAAUGGGCGAAAGCCUGAUGCAGCAACGCCGCGUGUGUGAUGAAGGUUUUCGGAUUGUAAAGCACUUUCGACCGGGAAGAAACCCCAACUGACCUAAUACGUCAUGGCUUGACGGUAUCGGGAGAAGAAGCACCGGCUAA
Molecule: ribosomal RNA, 494 nt
Filed under: uncultured bacterium
Lineage: Bacteria
Description: bacterial SSU rRNA
Rfam family: Bacterial small subunit ribosomal RNA
Source: RNAcentral